RNAcentral lists this long non-coding RNA (847 nucleotides) under Anas platyrhynchos platyrhynchos (common mallard). RNAcentral's name for it is "lncRNA (ENSAPLG00000026986.1)". Lineage: Eukaryota; Metazoa; Chordata; Aves; Anseriformes; Anatidae. The record is from RNAcentral.
GGUACUGGUCCCAGUCCCGGUACUGGUCCCGGUUCCAGCCCUGAUCCCAUCCCAGUCGUGGUCCUGUCCCCAUUCCCGUUCCUGGUCCUGUUCCUUUUCCCCCUCCCGCUGCUGUUCCCAGUCCUGGUUCCAGUCCCCUUCCCAGUCCCGGUGCCAUUCUCAAUCCCAUUUCCAGUCCCAGUCCCGAUCCCAUUCCUAGUCCUGGUCCUGUUCCCAUCCCCACUCCUGUUCCCGUUCCCAUUCCCACUCCUCUUUCCCCUCCUGCUGCUGUUCCCAGUCCCGAUCCUAUUCCCAGUCCUGGCCCUGUUCCUGUUCCCACUCCUGCUGUUCCCAUUCCCAGUGCCAGUUCAGAUUCUGUUCCCAGUGCCAUUCCCGGUCCCGUUUCCAGUCCCGACCCCAUUCCCACUCCUGCUGCCAUUCACAAACCCGUUCUCAGCACCAGUCACAAUCCUAUUCCUGUUCCCAUUCCCAGUUCUGUUCCCAUUCCCGGUGCCAUUCCCGUCCCAGUUCCUGUUCCUAUUCCCAUUCCCAGUGCUGCUCCUGUACCCAUUCCCAGUGCCGUUCCCAUUCCCAAUCCCAUUCCCAGUGCUGUUCCCAUCCCAGUUCCUGUUCCUAUUCCCAAUCCCAAUCCUAAUCCCAAUCCCACAGGACUGGCAGGUUCGCUACCAGCAGGACGCACCGGUCGCCCCCCGCUUCGAUGUCAACGCCCCCGACCUCUACAUCCCGGGUACGGCCCCGACCCCAAACCCUGACCCCUGACCCCAAACCCUGACCCUAACCCCGCUCCCUGUCCCCACAGCCAUGGCCUUCAUCACCUACCUGCUGGUGGCCGGGCUGGCACUGGGCA